This 320-nucleotide long non-coding RNA is filed under the name Homo sapiens (human). Its description in RNAcentral is "HPS5 biogenesis of lysosomal organelles complex 2 subunit 2 (ENSG00000288445.2)". Lineage: Eukaryota; Metazoa; Chordata; Mammalia; Primates; Hominidae. The record is from RNAcentral.
UUUCGUUCUCCAUCUCCUCUUGUGUCUCUUCAGGCUGUCAAAGAAAGUGUUUCUAGCUUUGUGCGUAAAACUACUGAGAAGAUUGGCACCCUUCACACGAGCCCUGAUCUGAAAGUGAGACCAGAGCUCAGGGGUGAUGAGCAAUCAUGUGAAGAGGAUGUGAGUUCAGAUACCUGCCCAAAGGAGGAAGACACUGAAAAUGGCAAGUUCCAAUCCUGUGUAUAUGGAGAUGGAAAAAGGAGAUCUACCAACAAGGUUAAAGUUACUAGAUGACGAGGUUCCUUUUGAUAGUCCGUUGUUGGUUGUUUAUGCUACCCGGU